Molecule: ribosomal RNA, 492 nt
Filed under: uncultured bacterium
Lineage: Bacteria
Description: partial 16S ribosomal RNA
Rfam family: Bacterial small subunit ribosomal RNA
Source: RNAcentral
AGUGAACGCUGGCGGUAGGCCUAACACAUGCAAGUCGAACGGCAGCACAGUAAGAGCUUGCUCUUACGGGUGGCGAGUGGCGGACGGGUGAGGAAUACAUCGGAAUCUACUUUUUCGUGGGGGAUAACGUAGGGAAACUUACGCUAAUACCGCAUACGACCUACGGGUGAAAGCAGGGGAUCUUCGGACCUUGCGCGAUUGAAUGAGCCGAUGUCGGAUUAGCUAGUUGGCGGGGUAAAGGCCCACCAAGGCGACGAUCCGUAGCUGGUCUGAGAGGAUGAUCAGCCACACUGGAACUGUGACACGGUCCAGACUCCUACGGGAGGCAGCAGUGGGGAAUAUUGGACAAUGGGCGCAAGCCUGAUCCAGCCAUACCGCGUGGGUGAAGAAGGCCUUCGGGUUGUAAAGCCCUUUUGUUGGGUAAGAAAAGCAGCAGGUUAAUACCCCGCUGUUCUGACGGUACCCAAAGAAUAAGCACCGGCUAACUUCGUG